This 451-nucleotide ribosomal RNA is filed under the name Colotrechnus sp. RDB-1999. Its description in RNAcentral is "eukaryotic LSU rRNA". Lineage: Eukaryota; Metazoa; Arthropoda; Insecta; Hymenoptera; Pteromalidae. The record is from RNAcentral.
CCUGAGAAACCCAAAAGAUCGAAUGGGGAGAUUCAUCGUCAGCGACGUUGGCUUCCGUGUGGCUCGCGAUGGCCGGGGCUUCGGCUUCGCGUCACGCAGUCGCUGCGGUAUGUCCGGCGUCGUCGGCGUGCACUUCUCCCCUAGUAGGACGUCGCGACCCGUUGGGUGCCGGCCUACGGCCCGAUUGGUCGACUGUCGCGUCUCGUUCACGCGUGCACGCGGCAGACCAUCGGUUGCCCGGCCGGCUGCCCGGCGGUAUAGAUCGCUAUUACACGGUAUUGGGCCGCAUUAAGUGCGUCCUGGCUCGUCGGCAGGCUCGCCUCGCUCGGAUUUACGGACCUGGUGCCGUUGCCGGGCGCUUGGUGUGGCCGUUAGUCGACGAUGUCCUCGGACCGGCUCUUACAUUCGAACGGAUUUACCGGUCGGCGACGCUACUGCUUUGGGUACUUUC